Molecule: non-coding RNA, 187 nt
Filed under: Gammaproteobacteria bacterium
Lineage: Bacteria; Pseudomonadati; Pseudomonadota; Gammaproteobacteria
Also listed under: 1 other name
Description: 6S RNA
Rfam family: 6S / SsrS RNA
About the family: E. coli 6S RNA was the first non coding RNA to be sequenced, but its function was unknown until recently. It consists of 184 nucleotides that fold into an extended hairpin structure with a large single-stranded internal bulge.
Source: RNAcentral
CGCUUCCUGCGGUGUUCGACGCCGACCUGGAAACCUUUCGACCCUAAAUCAUUACCUCGGGGUCGUGCUCUGUCGGUCGCAUUUGCGCAGGGCCGUUGCGACGGUAAGCCUGUUGCGAUCACGGCUGACCCCACCUGUUGCUCUGGUUCGAGAGCGACGGCUCGGUGACGGCACAGGCGGGAAGCGC